This 1276-nucleotide unclassified non-coding RNA is filed under the name Hevea brasiliensis (rubber tree). The record is from RNAcentral. Lineage: Eukaryota; Viridiplantae; Streptophyta; Magnoliopsida; Malpighiales; Euphorbiaceae.
AAUGCUCAUUUUUGGAUGAAAUUUAGUUAAAUUUCUCUUUGAAUUUCCAUCUCCAUCUCUUUUUGUCCUCCUCACAAUAAUGUCCAGCCCUGAGGUCACCAUCACUCUCGGCCGCACCGGUCAGGUGGUGACAAAGGGAGGUAAAAGGCCUAGAGGAGAGGGAUUUGAGCGUAGUGGUGAUAGCUUCUUGUUUUCCGCCAACAAAAGGAAUAGAGGGGAUGGUAUGAUGCAGGGUCCUGUCGUUAAUGGAGUUAAUGGAUCCCAAAUUGCCCAAAAUGAUCUUCGAUUGAAGCUGAUGCACAAAAGGUUAUCUAAGAAAAUUCACAAUGUUGUAGAGGAGGAAGGGAAAAUAGACCCACACAAAAAACUGGUGAAAGUCAUUCACCCUCCAACAAGUUCUUCUGUGAGUUCUUACAUGCUGCCACAUGGGCCUGCACAUGAUGGAAGCAAAGUUUCAAGGCAAAUUCUUCCUAAAGAAAUUGCAGAUGAUAUGUGUAAGGUGGACUCUUUGGGGAAAUUUUACUCAUAUCAGCCCAUUGGAGGAUUAGGGGUAAGAUCUACGGAUCAAAUUUUAAAAAGUUAUAGCAGGCUUUCACCACCUGGAAAUUAUGACGAAGAAAUUCGGAAAGUAACAUCCCUAAGGACACCUGAUCUUUCAAGAGGUGGACGGUUUUUGAGUGAUGAGAUUCUUGAUGCCUCUAGAUGGACUGGCACUCCUCCAGUCAUAAUGAAAGCUAGCUCUCAAGCUGGCAAUCUAGUAACAAGGGCAGCACCAGCAAUUGGCAUCGCUCAAACAGUAUCACAUAUGGGGGAGGAACCUCAAACUCUUGCCGGCUUCCUGCACUCUCUUGGUUUGGGGAAAUACGUUGUUAAUUUUGAAGCAGAAGAAGUAGACAUGACUAUAUUGAGGCAGAUGGGGGACAGAGACCUCAAAGAAAUGGGGAUACCUAUGGGACCAAGAAAGAAGAUUCUCCUUGCUCUCUUGGCCGGCCUGAAAAGGCAAACAUUGUGACCGCAAUAGUUCUAUGACAGGUGAUUCCAUAUCUACAUGUAAUCUUGCUGAUUUUUGAGGUGUGUUUCUUUUGGAAGUCUACAUGAAAUUUUGUGAUUGCUGUGCUUGGGAGUGAGUGUAUAUGACUCUGAAAGUAGAUAUUGAUUGGGAUUGUUGGUAGAUAGAACAGGAUGAGAUAAGCAAGUCAAAUGUAUAUUGUCGUCAGUGUUUGGAGAUCUUUUAUUGUAGCAUUUCAAUUAUGGUAAAUAUGUGCUUGCAUUUGAA